This 253-nucleotide ribosomal RNA is filed under the name uncultured bacterium. RNAcentral describes it as "partial 16S ribosomal RNA". It matches the Rfam family "Bacterial small subunit ribosomal RNA", at positions 524 to 776 of the family's 1533-position model. The record is from RNAcentral.
UACGGAGGGUGCAAGCGUUAUCCGGAUUCACUGGGGUUAAAGGGUGCGUAGGUGGGUCUGUAAGUCCGUGGUGAAAUCUCCGAGCUUAACUUGGAAACUGCCAUGGAUACUAUAGGUCUUGAAUACUGUGGAGGUCAGCGGAAUAUGUCAUGUAGCGGUGAAAUGCUUAGAUAUGACAUAGAACACCAAUUGCGAAGGCAGCUGGCUACACAAAUAUUGACACUGAUGCACGAAAGCGUGGGGAUCAAACAGG